CACGGUUACAAUCUACACGAUUGGCUAAUUUUAAAAUUGGAAAGGGAAAAGAAGGACUAUAGUUAAAAUGGCUAUGAUUGGAUAUAGGUUGGGAAGCUCAAAAUGGUUAUGAUUGGAUCUUACAUCCAAAUUAAGGCCAAAUACUAUAUUCUGAAAAUGGACCAUUGGACUUUCUAUUUCUCACAACACAUUUUAUGAUUCAUUAGAAUGAUUCAUAGAACUCAGGAAAGCACUUUACUUCUAUUUUAUUAAUUCAUUGUAAAGAACAUGAAAGAGUGCAACUCAGUGAUAACCUGAGUUUUUGUUGUUGUUGUUCUUUUGUUUUCUGGAGAUUGAACCCAGGACUUCGGGCAAAGCAUGAGCUCUACCACUGAGCUACACCUCCACCCAGGAACAGCCAGUUAAACAAAAAAUAUGAAAGACUAGCUAUCAUUUUGGACUGAGCUUUUUGUUCUAGGCCCCAAUAGACUAGACCAAAAUGGGGUCACUUAUGUAAUGUGCCACAUAAUCAUACUGAAAUGUAUGUUUGUUUUUCAAGUGCUGAGGAUCAAACCCAAAAUCUCAUGAAUGCUAGCUAACUCUCUACCACUGAGCUAUGUAUACUUCAGCCCCAAACUGAAACUAUAAGGAAGCAGACAAAUCCUAAAGUAGACCAUUCUUUUCUUGAAAACAGGGGGUUUCAGUGCACCUGAGUGGGCAUAUUAAAGAAGUCCACCCAAGGACUGGGGGUAUAACAGUGGUAGAGCACUUGCCUGGCAUAUCUGAGGCCCUGGGUUGAUUGCUCACACUGCUAAAAGAAAUUUCACAAAAUGCUUUUAACUCUUACAAUAGUAAACUGAUAUUUAUCAGUCAUCUUUUAUCUUUUGUUGUGUUUCUUUGUUCCCAUUUUACAAAUCCCACCAUUCUGCCAUUGCCCAGUGAGAGCUCUCAUUCUAUUUUAUAGGAUAGAAAGCUAAUUAGAUCUAUAACUAAGUUAAUUAUAAUUUUGUCUUUUGACAAGCCAAAUGGAAGACAUGCAUAAGGGGAGAGGGCAUAGAGCUUCCAUGCCCUCUCUAAGCACACUUUCUUCCCAGAACAUAAGUGUGUCUGCCACUCCACAAACCCCACUGUUAGAGUUGUUUUGGAAGGUGUCAUUACAAUGGCAUGGUUGAUUCAUUGAUUGGCUAUGGCAAAUUGAACCUAGUUCUAGCCCCUUCUCUUCCUGGAGUUUGGAACUGAAAUUCUAGCCCUCUGGAACCCAUGCUUAUUUUGUUUUUCUGGUCACUAGCCUGCAAUCUGAAGCUCAGUGUGCCCCCUCUUUUCCCCUUUAUUCAUUAGCAAAGGAAAAACAGUAAAUGUCAAAGGCUGUAGGAGCCGGAAGCUGGGAACUAAUGUUAGGUAGGAGUUCAGGAAAACCAAGAUGUCAGAGGCAGGGUAUAAGAAAAAUGCCACUGGAAGACAAGACAGGGAGAUGAGUCAUCGUGUCCCUGUUUACCAUGACUACUCCUGCCCAUAAUACUCCUGCCACAGGAUCGGAAUUCUAAAAUAACCAAUGGGGGUACAGUAGGCAGUAUUCUAAUUAGGUUUUCUAAAGUAACCAAUGGGGGAAAAUUGGACACCCUUCUAGUCAGGUAUUAUAAGGUAACCAGUGGGCUCAACUGGAGUAAGUUCUUCAAUCUGGUCCAUAUAGGGAAGAGAUUGCCUCACAGUCCAGCAUAUAAAAACAGACCUCGGGACCUUGACCCUCUCUUGCUUGGCUCACUUUGCUCUACAUUAUGGAGUGCCACUUCCACCUUCAUCUUCAAUAAAUCUGUACUUUGCCUGUUACUUCUGUGUGUCUUGCUCAAUUCUUUGUUCGGGACACCAAGGACAUGGACCCCAACUGGACACCCCAGUGAUUAAACUAAGGCCAGAUACUUUUUCAUUAUAUACACCAGUAGUGGUGGCUUUACUAGCCCCAUUUUCUCUGCAUGCAUGUGUUGCCAGAGCCUGACUCUCUAACCUGGCUGCAUUUCCACCAUCUUUAGCUUCCACCUGGCAGAUUAUCAGUCUGGACACCCCCAUUUUCCUGGCACCUGCUACCAUUCUUGGUUAGAACUUUUUAUCAACUGGAGGAAACUACCUCUGCCCAAUAGACUCAUGAAAAGGAAUUUGUAUAUCUCUGAAAGUCACCAAGGGGAUCAGAGAGCAAGGUUCUGAGGCCAUACAACAUUAUCUCCAGCCCAAAUCACAGUUCUGGAUUAGCCUGGUGAGCAUGUCACUGCUGUCACCACCAGGGGCAUGCAGGGACCUUUGUAACUAAGCCUUCACUAUAGGCCCAGAAUUGUGUGCUGUUGCCAUGACUGCUGUGGUUCCCCCCUGUAGCAAGGGCUCCUUUAAUUGGGGAUUUAAAGGAGGACCCAGUCAUUGUCCUGACUGACUCCAUUUUCCUCCUCUAACCUCUUCUUAGUCUCUAAGUCAUUUCUCCUCAGUGUAUCUCAGGUUCCAAGAACAAUAAGUUUUGCAGGCAGAUCACUUCAUGAUGGGAACUCAAUUGCUGCCUCAAGCAAUAAUGAUUUCAUGGGUGCCAUCAGGACCUUGCAAAACUGGACCUGCUUGA
RNAcentral lists this long non-coding RNA (2578 nucleotides) under Marmota monax (woodchuck). The record is from RNAcentral. Lineage: Eukaryota; Metazoa; Chordata; Mammalia; Rodentia; Sciuridae.